Molecule: non-coding RNA, 31 nt
Filed under: Mus musculus (house mouse)
Lineage: Eukaryota; Metazoa; Chordata; Mammalia; Rodentia; Muridae
Also listed under: 1 other name
Source: RNAcentral
UGUUUGUUUGAAUAAAGAAAAGUAACGGUGU